RNAcentral lists this ribosomal RNA (253 nucleotides) under uncultured bacterium. RNAcentral's name for it is "partial 16S ribosomal RNA". It matches the Rfam family "Bacterial small subunit ribosomal RNA", at positions 524 to 776 of the family's 1533-position model. The record is from RNAcentral.
UACGGGGGGAGCAAGCGUUGUUCGGAUUUACUGGGCGUAAAGGGCGCGUAGGCGGCCACGUGCGUCCGUUGUGAAAUCGCCCGGCUCAACUGGGCGGGGUCAGCGGAUACGGCGUGGCUGGAGCAAGCUAGGGGGCAAUGGAAUUCCCGGUGUAGUGGUGGAAUGCGUAGAUAUCGGGAGGAACACCAGUGGCGAAGGCGGUUGCCUGGAGCUUUGCUGACGCUGAGACGCGAAAGCGUGGGGAGCAAACAGG